This 761-nucleotide ribosomal RNA is filed under the name uncultured Stenotrophomonas sp. RNAcentral describes it as "bacterial SSU rRNA". It matches the Rfam family "Bacterial small subunit ribosomal RNA", at positions 28 to 776 of the family's 1533-position model. The record is from RNAcentral. Lineage: Bacteria; Pseudomonadati; Pseudomonadota; Gammaproteobacteria; Lysobacterales; Lysobacteraceae.
AGUGAACGCUGGCGGUAGGCCUAACACAUGCAAGUCGAACGGCAGCACAGGAGAGCUUGCUCUCUGGGUGGCGAGUGGCGGACGGGUGAGGAAUACAUCGGAAUCUACUUUGUCGUGGGGGAUAACGUAGGGAAACUUACGCUAAUACCGCAUACGACCUACGGGUGAAAGCAGGGGAUCUUCGGACCUUGCGCGAUUGAAUGAGCCGAUGUCGGAUUAGCUAGUUGGCGGGGUAAAGGCCCACCAAGGCGACGAUCCGUAGCUGGUCUGAGAGGAUGAUCAGCCACACUGGAACUGAGACACGGUCCAGACUCCUACGGGAGGCAGCAGUGGGGAAUAUUGGACAAUGGGCGCAAGCCUGAUCCAGCCAUACCGCGUGGGUGAAGAAGGCCUUCGGGUUGUAAAGCCCUUUUGUUGGGAAAGAAAUCCAGCCGGCUAAUACCUGGUUGGGAUGACGGUACCCAAAGAAUAAGCACCGGCUAACUUCGUGCCAGCAGCCGCGGUAAUACGAAGGGUGCAAGCGUUACUCGGAAUUACUGGGCGUAAAGCGUGCGUAGGUGGUUAUUUAAGUCCGUUGUGAAAGCCCUGGGCUCAACCUGGGGAACUGCAGUGGAUACUGGAUGACUAGAAUGUGGUAGAGGGUAGCGGAAUUCCUGGUGUAGCAGUGAAAUGCGUAGAGAUCAGGAGGAACAUCCAUGGCGAAGGCAGCUACCUGGACCAGCAUUGACACUGGAGGCACGAAAGCGUGGGGAGCAAACAGG